CAAUCCUUUUAAUUUUGUCAAUUACAUGCACAACCUUCCAAACUAGUGUUAAUUUUAGCCAACUUUUGAGAGCAUAUGUCAUAACUCCUAAGUUGCUAACAUGACGUAUAAUCUAUUGAUAAAAAUUUCACAUGACCAUAUUUAAGGGGAGAGACCAAGGAGUACACAAAGAAAUGCAGUGAAAAUUAUCAGGAUUUUUUUUCUUUUACUUUUUUAUUUUUCAGAUAAUAUAUAAUCAUUUUUAAAAUGCUAACAUAAAAAUAUUUUUCAAAUAAAAUACUUAGCAUGCUAUUAAUUUGAGAUUUUUAGCACAUAUCCUUUCAAAUUUAGCUAAAAUUAACACCAACUUAAAGGGUUGUGAUUGUG
Molecule: unclassified non-coding RNA, 366 nt
Filed under: Hevea brasiliensis (rubber tree)
Lineage: Eukaryota; Viridiplantae; Streptophyta; Magnoliopsida; Malpighiales; Euphorbiaceae
Source: RNAcentral